Small nuclear RNA from Callithrix jacchus (white-tufted-ear marmoset), 94 nucleotides. Lineage: Eukaryota; Metazoa; Chordata; Mammalia; Primates; Cebidae. The record is from Ensembl.
UAAUAAUGUAAUAAAAUAGUAACAAUACAGAAAAGAUUUGCAUAAUCCUUGCACAAGGAUAAGCAUGCAAAUUCAUGAUGCAUUCUGUACUUUU